GAGUUUGAUCCUGGCUCAGGAUGAACGCUAGCGGCAGGCUUAAUACAUGCAAGUCGAGGGGUAGUCCCGCUUCGGCGGGAUGAGACCGGCAAACGGGUGCGGAACACGUACACAACCUACCUUGAGAUGGGGGAUAGCCCAGAGAAAGUUUGGAUUAAUACCCCAAUGUGAUCCUUGGACGGCAUCGUCUGGGGGAUGAAAGAUUUAUUGUCUUGAGAUGGGUGUGCGUAUGAUUAGGUAGUUGGUGUAGGUAACGGCUCACCAAGCCUUCGAUCAUUAACUGGUGUG
RNAcentral lists this ribosomal RNA (288 nucleotides) under uncultured Sphingobacterium sp. Its description in RNAcentral is "partial 16S ribosomal RNA". It matches the Rfam family "Bacterial small subunit ribosomal RNA", at positions 9 to 294 of the family's 1533-position model. Lineage: Bacteria; Pseudomonadati; Bacteroidota; Sphingobacteriia; Sphingobacteriales; Sphingobacteriaceae. The record is from RNAcentral.